This 438-nucleotide ribosomal RNA is filed under the name bacterium CPTAC60. RNAcentral's name for it is "bacterial SSU rRNA". It matches the Rfam family "Bacterial small subunit ribosomal RNA", at positions 955 to 1386 of the family's 1533-position model. The record is from RNAcentral.
UUGAACGCGAAGAACCUUACCUGGGUUUGACAUACACCGGAAAGCCGCAGAGAUGUGGCCCCUUUUAGUCGGUGUACAGGUGGUGCUAUGGCUGUCGUCAGCUCGUGUCGUGAGAUGUUGGGUUAAGUCCCGCAACGAGCGCAACCCUCGUCCUAUGUUGCCAGCGGGUCAUGCCGGGGACUCAUAGGAGACUGCCGGGGUCAACUCGGAGGAAGGUGGGGAUGACGUCAAGUCAUCAUGCCCCUUAUGUCCAGGGCUUCACGCAUGCUACAAUGGCCGGUACAAAGGGCUGCGAUGCCGCAAGGCGGAGCGAAUCCCAAAAAGCCGGUCUCAGUUCGGAUUGGGGUCUGCAACUCGACCCCAUGAAGUCGGAGUCGCAAGAAAUCGCAGAUCAGCAACGCUGCGGUGAAUACGUUCCCGGGUCCUGUACCACGCAAA